GAUUUGACCCCCGUCUUUUUCUUGGGUUAUCAGAUUUCUUUCACCCUGGGAAUGAGAAGAUGGUCAUCUAGCCUUGCCUUCCCUAAAUUCUCCCCAGUUUAGCCAUUCCACCCAAGACCAUUUCUCAGGGUUUUGCCGUCAAAAGCCUACCUUACGAAUUGCCGGAAGGGAAACCCUGAUCUCUCGUGUUUCAAAGGAACCCCAAUUUCUUUUGCCCUGUUGCCUCCCAAACAUUUUCACAUUGAUCAUCC
RNAcentral lists this long non-coding RNA (251 nucleotides) under Hordeum vulgare. RNAcentral's name for it is "long non-coding RNA (HVUL_LNC006661)". The record is from RNAcentral. Lineage: Eukaryota; Viridiplantae; Streptophyta; Magnoliopsida; Poales; Poaceae.